AUGCAUUCAGAGAUGGAAGUGUUAAGAUGUUAUGUAGGUGAAGAACCUUGCGUCAUAUUUGUUCACAUCGAGUGUUCAAAGGUGUGAAGAUCUCUACCAUCUUUCUUACUCUCUUGAACACGGUAUUGUCUUUAAUGGGUGAUGUAUAAUUACUCUUCCUCUGGUGGUGUGAACAUUCAGCAUUGGGAACAUACUCUUUAACGUCUCGCGUCUUUUUCACGGC
Molecule: long non-coding RNA, 223 nt
Filed under: Lathyrus oleraceus (garden pea)
Lineage: Eukaryota; Viridiplantae; Streptophyta; Magnoliopsida; Fabales; Fabaceae
Description: Pisum sativum (pea) long non-coding RNA (PSAT_LNC037430)
Source: RNAcentral